AGAGUUUGAUCCUGGCUCAGGACGAACGCUGGCGGCGUGCCUAAUACAUGCAAGUCGAACGGAGUUAAGGGCUUCGGCUUUUAACUUAGUGGCGAACGGGUGAGUAACGCGUGAGCAACCUGACUCAAAGAGGGGGACAACAGCUGGAAACGGCUGCUAAUACCGCAUAAGACCACAAUGUGGCAUCACGAAGGGGUCAAAGAAAUUCGCUUUGAGAGGGGCUCGCGUCCCAUUAGAUAGUUGGUGAGGUAACGGCCCACCAAGUCCGCGAUGGGUAGCCGAGCUGAGAGGCUGAUCGGCCACACUGGAACUGAGGCACGGUCCAGACUCCUACGGGAGGCAGCAGUAGGGAAUAUUGGGCAAUGGGCGCAAGCCUGACCCAGCAACGCCGCGUGAGGGAAGAAGGUUUUCGGAUUGUAAACCUCUGUCCUAUGUGACGAAGGAAGUGACGGUAGCAUAGGAGGAAGCCCCGGCUAACUACGUGCCAGCAGCCGCGGUAAUACGUAGGGGGCGAGCGUUGUCCGGAAUUACUGGGCGUAAAGGGAGCGUAGGCGGCAAAGCAAGUCAGAAGUGAAAGCCCGCGGCUCAACUGCGGGACUGCUUUUGAAACUGUUUAGCUAGAGUACUGGAGGGGCAAGCGGAAUUCCUGGUGUAGCGGUGAAAUGCGUAGAUAUCAGGAAGAACACCGGAGGCGAAGGCGGCUUGCUGGACAGAUACUGACGCUGAGGCUCGAAGGCGUGGGGAGCAAACAGGAUUAGAUACCCUGGUAGUCCACGCGGUAAACGAUGAAUGCUAGAUAUUGGCUUCCAUAGGGAGUCGGUGUCGCAGUUAACGCAAUAAGCAUUCCACCUGGGGAGCACGUUCGCAAGAAUGAAACUCAAAGGAAUUGACGGGGACCCGCACAAGCGGUGGAGCAUGUGGUUUAAUUCGAAGCAACGCGAAAAACCUUACCAGAUCUUGACAUCCCCCUGACCGGCCUUUAAUAGGGCCCUUCCUUCGAGACAGGGGAGACAGGUGGUGCAUGGUUGUCGUCAGCUCGUGUCGUGAGAUGUUGGGUUAAGUCCCGCAACGAGCGCAACCCUUGUUCUCAGUAGCCAGCAGUACGGCUGGGCACUCUGAGGAGACUGCCGGAGACAAUCCGGAGGAAGGUGGGGAUGACGUCAAAUCAUCAUGCCCCUUACGAUCUGGGCUACACACGUGCUACAAUGGCGCUCAACAAAGAGAAGCAACCCUGCGAAGGUGAGCGAACCUCAAAAACAGCGUCUCAGUUCGGACUGCAGGCUGCAACCCGCCUGCACGAAGCCGGAAUCGCUAGUAAUCGCGAAUCAGCAUGUCGCGGUGAAUACGUUCCCGGGUCUUGUACACACCGCCCGUCACACCAUGGGAGUCGGUAACGCCCGAAGUCAGUGACCUAACCAAUCUGGAAGGAGCUGCCGAAGGCGGGACCGGUAACUGGGGUGAAGUCGUAACAAGGU
Molecule: ribosomal RNA, 1475 nt
Filed under: uncultured rumen bacterium
Lineage: Bacteria
Description: bacterial SSU rRNA
Rfam family: Bacterial small subunit ribosomal RNA
Source: RNAcentral